GACGAACGCUGGCGGCGUGCCUAAUACAUGCAAGUCGAACGCUUCUUUCCUCCCGAGUGCUUGCACUCAAUUGGAAAGAGGAGUGGCGGACGGGUGAGUAACACGUGGGUAACCUACCCAUCAGAGGGGGAUAACACUUGGAAACAGGUGCUAAUACCGCAUAACAGUUUAUGCCGCAUGGCAUAAGAGUGGAAGGCGCUUUCGGGUGUCGUUGAUGGAUGGACCCGCGGUGCAUUAGCUAGUUGGUGAGGUAACGGCUCACCAAGGCCACGAUGCAUAGCCGACCUGAGAGGGUGAUCGGCCACACUGGGACUGAGACACGGCCCAGACUCCUACGGGAGGCAGCAGUAGGGAAUCUUCGGCAAUGGACGAAAGUCUGACCGAGCAACGCCGCGUGAGUGAAGAAGGUUUUCGGAUCGUAAAACUCUGUUGUUAGAGAAGAACAAGGACGUUAGUAACUGAACGUCCCCUGACGGUAUCUAACCAGAAAGCCACGGCUAACUACGUG
Molecule: ribosomal RNA, 508 nt
Filed under: uncultured bacterium
Lineage: Bacteria
Description: partial 16S ribosomal RNA
Rfam family: Bacterial small subunit ribosomal RNA
Source: RNAcentral